This 273-nucleotide ribosomal RNA is filed under the name uncultured prokaryote. Its description in RNAcentral is "partial 16S ribosomal RNA". It matches the Rfam family "Bacterial small subunit ribosomal RNA", at positions 524 to 796 of the family's 1533-position model. The record is from RNAcentral.
UACGGAGGAUGCGAGCGUUAUCCGGAUUCAUUGGGUUUAAAGGGUGCGUAGGCGGCUUUUUAAGUCAGUGGUGAAAUCCUGCAGCUUAACUGUAGAAUUGCCAUUGAUACUGAAGAGCUUGAAUAUAGUUGAGGUAGGCGGAAUGUGCAGUGUAGCGGUGAAAUGCUUAGAUAUUGCACAGAACACCGAUUGCGAAGGCAGCUUACUAAAUUAUUAUUGACGCUGAGGCACGAAAGCGUGGGGAUCGAACAGGAUUAGAAACCCUAGUAGUCC